RNAcentral lists this ribosomal RNA (432 nucleotides) under uncultured bacterium. RNAcentral's name for it is "partial 16S ribosomal RNA". It matches the Rfam family "Bacterial small subunit ribosomal RNA", at positions 29 to 506 of the family's 1533-position model. The record is from RNAcentral.
AGCGAACGCUGGCGGCAGGCCUAACACAUGCAAGUCGAACGAACUCUUCGGAGUUAGUGGCGGACGGGUGAGUAACACGUGGGAACGUGCCUUUUGGUUCGGAAUAACUCAGGGAAACUUGUGCUAAUACCGAAUGUGCCCUUCGGGGGAAAGAUUUAUCGCCAUUAGAGCGGCCCGCGUCUGAUUAGCUAGUUGGUGAGGUAACGGCUCACCAAGGCGACGAUCAGUAGCUGGUCUGAGAGGAUGACCAGCCACACUGGGACUGAGACACGGCCCAGACUCCUACGGGAGGCAGCAGUGGGGAAUCUUGCGCAAUGGGCGAAAGCCUGACGCAGCCAUGCCGCGUGAAUGAUGAAGGUCUUAGGAUUGUAAAAUUCUUUCACCGGGGACGAUAAUGACGGUACCCGGAGAAGAAGCCCCGGCGAACUUCGU